Molecule: unclassified non-coding RNA, 222 nt
Filed under: plant metagenome
Description: partial contains small subunit ribosomal RNA and internal transcribed spacer 1
Rfam family: Eukaryotic small subunit ribosomal RNA (bases 1-46)
Source: RNAcentral
AAGUCGUAACAAGGUUUCCGUAGGUGAACCUGCGGAAGGAUCAUUACCGAGAGAGGGUCCUCUGGGCCCGACCUCCAACCCUGUGUCUAAUUACUUUGUUGCUUUGGCCGGCCCGCCUCUCGGCCGCCGGAGGCAGUCACAUGCCUCUGGCCCGCGCCGGCCAACAGCCCGAACAAACCCGUUUUAUGACUGCGUCUGAAUUUAUAAAGAAAAUAAACAAAA